This 227-nucleotide ribosomal RNA is filed under the name uncultured bacterium. RNAcentral's name for it is "partial 16S ribosomal RNA". It matches the Rfam family "Bacterial small subunit ribosomal RNA", at positions 15 to 219 of the family's 1533-position model. The record is from RNAcentral.
GAUCCUGGCUCAGGACGAACGCUGGCGGCGUGCUUAACACAUGCAAGUCGAACGAAGAGCGAUGGAAGCUUGCUUCUAUCAAUCUUAGUGGCGAACGGGUGAGUAACGCGUAAUCAACCUGCCCUUCAGAGGGGGGACAACAGUUGGAAACGACUGCUAAUACCGCAUAUGAUCCAAUCUCGGCAUCGAGACUGGAUGAAAAGGUGGGCCUCUAUUUAUAAGCUAUC